GGAAAGAUGGCAGAGCGGUUGAAUGCACCGCACUCGAAAUGCGGCAACCGGGUUUCCCCUGGUUCGGGGGUUCGAAUCCCCCUCUUUCCGCCA
RNAcentral lists this transfer RNA (93 nucleotides) under Candidatus Avisuccinivibrio pullicola. Its description in RNAcentral is "tRNA-Ser". It matches the Rfam family "tRNA". From Rfam's summary of the family: Transfer RNA (tRNA) molecules are approximately 80 nucleotides in length. Lineage: Bacteria; Pseudomonadati; Pseudomonadota; Gammaproteobacteria; Aeromonadales; Succinivibrionaceae. The record is from RNAcentral.